This 333-nucleotide long non-coding RNA is filed under the name Parus major (Great Tit). RNAcentral describes it as "lncRNA (ENSPMJG00000011232.1)". Lineage: Eukaryota; Metazoa; Chordata; Aves; Passeriformes; Paridae. The record is from RNAcentral.
GAAAAUAGAAAUGCCUGAAGAUCAUAUCAAGUGCUCUGUUUGUAUUUACAGGUUGGACUGUAAUUUGUGAAGAUACUGGAUGACAGGUCUUUGUCUGCCUGGCUGUUAAAAAGACAAGGUUGGCAUUCAAAAGGUGUCUCAUCAGACCCAUCAGGCGGAUGGAUGGAAGCACCACUGGUCCAAGAACGUGGCCUCAGUGUGAUGAUUCAAGCAUUUGAGCACUCACUUUAUGCGAUACAUUUACACUGAGAUGGUGAAAGAGGAAGUCUGAGGUGAGCUUCUGAGGAAGACGGUUCUGCAAAGCUCACGUCUGGCCUCUCCUCUCCUGAACAG